UGGUUCUGGCAUCGAUGAAGAACGCAGCGAAAUGCGAUAAGUAAUGUGAAUUGCAGAAUUCAGUGAAUCAUCGAAUCUUUGAACGCACAUUGCGCCCUUUGGCAUUCCGAGGGGCAUGCCCGUUCGAGCGUCAUUAAAUCCACUCAAGCCUGGCUUGGUCUUGGGCGCCGGAGACCUCUCCGCGCCUCUAUUUCGCCGGCUGGCCGUCGUUUGACUUAGCGUUGUGACACAUGUCGCUAACGACGAAGACGGACCGCGCCGUGAAAAUCUCCUUGAACAUUCACCAAUGUUCAGUAAAGGUUGACCUCGGAUCGGGUAGGAAUACCCGCUGA
RNAcentral lists this unclassified non-coding RNA (332 nucleotides) under uncultured fungus. Its description in RNAcentral is "partial contains 5.8S ribosomal RNA and internal transcribed spacer 2". The stretch from base 1 to 133 matches the Rfam family "5.8S ribosomal RNA", at positions 22 to 154 of the family's 154-position model. The record is from RNAcentral. Lineage: Eukaryota; Fungi.